UGGGGAAUUUUGGACAAUGGGGGAAACCCUGAUCCAGCCAUCCCGCGUGUGCGAUGAAGGCCUUCGGGUUGUAAAGCACUUUUGGCAGGAAAGAAACGUCAUGGGUUAAUACCCCGUGAAACUGACGGUACCUGCAGAAUAAGCACCGGCUAACUACGUGCCAGCAGCCGCGGUAAUACGUAGGGUGCAAGCGUUAAUCGGAAUUACUGGGCGUAAAGCGUGCGCAGGCGGUUCGGAAAGAAAGAUGUGAAAUCCCAGAGCUCAACUUUGGAACUGCAUUUUUAACUACCGGGCUAGAAUGUGUCAGAGGGAGGUGGAAUUCCGCGUGUAGCAGUGAAAUGCGUAGAUAUGCGGAGGAACACCGAUGGCGAAGGCAGCCUCCUGGGAUAACACUGACGCUCAUGCACGAAAGCGUGGGGAGCAAACAGG
Molecule: ribosomal RNA, 429 nt
Filed under: Acidobacteriota bacterium
Lineage: Bacteria; Pseudomonadati; Acidobacteriota
Description: Acidobacteria bacterium partial 16S ribosomal RNA
Rfam family: Bacterial small subunit ribosomal RNA
Source: RNAcentral